RNAcentral lists this ribosomal RNA (587 nucleotides) under uncultured bacterium. RNAcentral's name for it is "bacterial SSU rRNA". It matches the Rfam family "Bacterial small subunit ribosomal RNA", at positions 338 to 917 of the family's 1533-position model. The record is from RNAcentral.
CCUACGGGAGGCAGCAGUGGGGAAUCUUGCGCAAUGGGCGAAAGCCUGACGCAGCGACGCCGCGUGAGCGAUGAAGGCCUUCGGGUUGUAAAGCUCUGUGGGGAGGAAAGAAUAAGGGUUGGCUAAUAUCCAGCUCGAUGACGGUACCUCCUUAGCAAGCACCGGCUAACUCUGUGCCAGCAGCCGCGGUAAGACAGAGGGUGCAAACGUUGUUCGGAAUUACUGGGCGUAAGGCGCGUGUAGGCGGCCCUGCAAGUCGGAUGUGAAAUCCCACGGCUCAACCGUGGAAGUGCAUUCGAAACUGCAGGGCUAGAGUCCUGGAGAGGAAGGUGGAAUGCUUGGUGUAGAGGUGAAAUUCGUAGAUAUCAAGCGGAACACCGGUGGCGAAGGCGGCCUUCUGGACAGUGACUGACGCUGAGACGCGAAAGCGUGGGGAGCAAACAGGAUUAGAUACCCUGGUAGUCCACGCCGUAAACGAUGAGUGCUAGGUGUCACGGGCUUUGACCCUCGUGGUGCCGAAGCUAACGCGUUAAGCACUCCGCCUGGGGAGUACGGUCGCAAGACUAAAACUCAAAGGAAUUGACGGA